This 1402-nucleotide ribosomal RNA is filed under the name Lactiplantibacillus pentosus. Its description in RNAcentral is "bacterial SSU rRNA". It matches the Rfam family "Bacterial small subunit ribosomal RNA", at positions 61 to 1433 of the family's 1533-position model. The record is from RNAcentral. Lineage: Bacteria; Bacillati; Bacillota; Bacilli; Lactobacillales; Lactobacillaceae.
GACGAACUCUGGUAUUGAUUGGUGCUUGCAUCAUGAUUUACAUUUGAGUGAGUGGCGAACUGGUGAGUAACACGUGGGAAACCUGCCCAGAAGCGGGGGAUAACACCUGGAAACAGAUGCUAAUACCGCAUAACAACUUGGACCGCAUGGUCCGAGUUUGAAAGAUGGCUUCGGCUAUCACUUUUGGAUGGUCCCGCGGCGUAUUAGCUAGAUGGUGAGGUAACGGCUCACCAUGGCAAUGAUACGUAGCCGACCUGAGAGGGUAAUCGGCCACAUUGGGACUGAGACACGGCCCAAACUCCUACGGGAGGCAGCAGUAGGGAAUCUUCCACAAUGGACGAAAGUCUGAUGGAGCAACGCCGCGUGAGUGAAGAAGGGUUUCGGCUCGUAAAACUCUGUUGUUAAAGAAGAACAUAUCUGAGAGUAACUGUUCAGGUAUUGACGGUAUUUAACCAGAAAGCCACGGCUAACUACGUGCCAGCAGCCGCGGUAAUACGUAGGUGGCAAGCGUUGUCCGGAUUUAUUGGGCGUAAAGCGAGCGCAGGCGGUUUUUUAAGUCUGAUGUGAAAGCCUUCGGCUCAACCGAAGAAGUGCAUCGGAAACUGGGAAACUUGAGUGCAGAAGAGGACAGUGGAACUCCAUGUGUAGCGGUGAAAUGCGUAGAUAUAUGGAAGAACACCAGUGGCGAAGGCGGCUGUCUGGUCUGUAACUGACGCUGAGGCUCGAAAGUAUGGGUAGCAAACAGGAUUAGAUACCCUGGUAGUCCAUACCGUAAACGAUGAAUGCUAAGUGUUGGAGGGUUUCCGCCCUUCAGUGCUGCAGCUAACGCAUUAAGCAUUCCGCCUGGGGAGUACGGCCGCAAGGCUGAAACUCAAAGGAAUUGACGGGGGCCCGCACAAGCGGUGGAGCAUGUGGUUUAAUUCGAAGCUACGCGAAGAACCUUACCAGGUCUUGACAUACUAUGCAAAUCUAAGAGAUUAGACGUUCCCUUCGGGGACAUGGAUACAGGUGGUGCAUGGUUGUCGUCAGCUCGUGUCGUGAGAUGUUGGGUUAAGUCCCGCAACGAGCGCAACCCUUAUUAUCAGUUGCCAGCAUUAAGUUGGGCACUCUGGUGAGACUGCCGGUGACAAACCGGAGGAAGGUGGGGAUGACGUCAAAUCAUCAUGCCCCUUAUGACCUGGGCUACACACGUGCUACAAUGGAUGGUACAACGAGUUGCGAACUCGCGAGAGUAAGCUAAUCUCUUAAAGCCAUUCUCAGUUCGGAUUGUAGGCUGCAACUCGCCUACAUGAAGUCGGAAUCGCUAGUAAUCGCGGAUCAGCAUGCCGCGGUGAAUACGUUCCCGGGCCUUGUACACACCGCCCGUCACACCAUGAGAGUUUGUAACACCCAAAGUCGGUGG